Long non-coding RNA from Helianthus annuus (common sunflower), 586 nucleotides. RefSeq lists it as uncharacterized. The record is from RefSeq and is a predicted model, not a curated record. NCBI's taxonomy places the organism in Eukaryota, Viridiplantae, Streptophyta, Magnoliopsida, Asterales, Asteraceae. The transcript has 5 exons.
CUAACCCUUCUUCUCUUUGUUCUCCUCCCUCGUUCUGCUCUGUUUCCAGUUGACUAUCCCUUCUCACCCAAAAUUUAAGUUAAAUAAUGGCAGCAACGAUGGAGGCGGUUGUAAGAUACUUACAUGGUAGUCGUGAAACUUUCAUGUUGGCUUUGGUUGUUGAGGGUCAGCUGGUGUUGAUGAGAAGAAUUAGUGGGUGGAUGAGAGGAAUUAUUUGGUUGAAGAGCAUAUGAGUUUAUUGCAGUUAUUGCUCUAAAGUUAUUUUAAUAUAUGCCAUCUACUCUACUCUGAUGUUUGUUAACAAUCCUAAGGGCCGGAAAUGAACUCUGUAAAGGCAUUUCAAGGCAAUUUCUAUUGUUCCGGUUGCAAGUAUGAAUUGAAGAUGCUGCUUUGGGUUGCAAGUAUGAAGAUAUACGUAUUUGUGUAUGAAUAUUGAAGACGUUGUUCAGGAAGUUAGUGUAUAUCACUUUCAUCUUUAAUGAUAUAUAUAUUUGUGUUACUUUGAAACUUUUGUAACGUUGUAUUGCUUUGAAACCUUUGUAAUUUACAUUGGGUUAUUUUAUAUUGGUUUAAAUUAAUUUUGUUA